RNAcentral lists this ribosomal RNA (578 nucleotides) under uncultured bacterium. RNAcentral describes it as "bacterial SSU rRNA". It matches the Rfam family "Bacterial small subunit ribosomal RNA", at positions 102 to 694 of the family's 1533-position model. The record is from RNAcentral.
AAGGGAGAGUAACGGGUGGUUACUUACCCUCAGGCUCGGGAUAGUGUCGGGAAACUGACAGUAAUACCGAAUAAUAUCUUUGGAUCAAAGGUGUGAUUCCGCCUGGGGAUAGGACCGCUUUCUAUUAGCUUGUUGGCGGGGUAAUGGCCCACCAAGGCUGCGAUGGAUACCGGGUGUGAGAGCAUGGCCCGGCUCACUGGGACUGAGACACUGCCCAGACACCAACGGGUGGCUGCAGUCGAGAAUCUUCGGCAAUGGGCGCAAGCCUGACCGAGCGACGCCGCGUGCGGGAUGAAGGCCUUCGGGUUGUAAACCGCUGUCAGUUGGGAGGAAGGCGCUGUGAAGAGCAGCGUUUGACCGAUCUUCAGAGGAAGGACGGGCUAAGUUCGUGCCAGCAGCCGCGGUAAGACGAACCGUCCGAACGUUAUUCGGUAUUACUGGGCUUAAAGAGUUCGUAGGCGGCCUAGCAGGUGAGGUGUGAAAUCCAACGGCUCAACCGUUGAAUUGCGCUUCAAACCGCUAGGCUCGAGGAUGGCAGGGGUGUUGGGAACUGAUGGUGGAGCGGUGAAAUGCGUUGA